This is a microRNA precursor of Callithrix jacchus (white-tufted-ear marmoset), 129 nucleotides long. Lineage: Eukaryota; Metazoa; Chordata; Mammalia; Primates; Cebidae. The record is from Ensembl.
CCCUGGCCUGGCCUCCUGCAGUGCCACGCUCCGUGUAUUUGACAAGCUGAGUUAGACACUCCGUGUGGUAGAGUGUCAGUUUGUCAAAUACCCCAAGUGUGACACAUGCUUAGCAGCUCCAGACCAGGG